GAUGAAGAACGUAGCGAAAUGCGAUAAGUAAUGUGAAUUGCAGAAUUCAGUGAAUCAUCGAAUCUUUGAACGCACAUUGCGCCCUCUGGUAUUCCGGGGGGCAUGCCUGUUCGAGCGUCAUUACAACCCUCAAGCUCAGCUUGGUGUUGGGCCCCGCCGCCCCGGCGGGCCCUAAAGUCAGUGGCGGUGCCGUCCGGCUCCGAGCGUAGUAAUUCUUCUCGCUCUGGAGGUCCGGUCGUGUGCUCGCCAGCGACCCCCAAUUUUUUUCAGGUUGACCUCGGAUCAGGUAGGGAUACCCGCUGAACUUAAGCAUAUCAAUAAGCGGAGGA
This 329-nucleotide unclassified non-coding RNA is filed under the name soil metagenome. RNAcentral's name for it is "partial contains 5.8S ribosomal RNA, internal transcribed spacer 2, and large subunit ribosomal RNA". The stretch from base 1 to 120 matches the Rfam family "5.8S ribosomal RNA", at positions 35 to 154 of the family's 154-position model. The record is from RNAcentral.